This 73-nucleotide transfer RNA is filed under the name Candidatus Acidifodinimicrobium mancum. Its description in RNAcentral is "tRNA-Gln". It matches the Rfam family "tRNA". From Rfam's summary of the family: Transfer RNA (tRNA) molecules are approximately 80 nucleotides in length. Their secondary structure includes four short double-helical elements and three loops (D, anti-codon, and T loops). Lineage: Archaea; Nanobdellati; Candidatus Parvarchaeota; Candidatus Acidifodinimicrobiaceae. The record is from RNAcentral.
AGCCCCGUAGUCUAGCGGCCAAGGACUGCUGACUCUGAACCAGCGAACAUCGGUUCAAAUUCGAGUGGGGCUA